This 514-nucleotide long non-coding RNA is filed under the name Salvator merianae (Argentine black and white tegu). RNAcentral's name for it is "lncRNA (ENSSMRG00000009585.1)". Lineage: Eukaryota; Metazoa; Chordata; Lepidosauria; Squamata; Teiidae. The record is from RNAcentral.
CAAAACUUGAAGUACUGAAUGGCUUUCCAUGACUUUGUGCUUUUGCCUGUAAGUAUGACUAAGCCCAUAGUAUGUCACAUUUACUUCUGGUUUUAAUAAUGUAUUGAAAGACUCCACUGGUCCUAAGUCAGGGACAUGUACAGCAAAAAGUUUAUUUGUUCUUCUUUUUAAGUAAAUGUAGGCAUGGAGCCUGUGGCAACUCAUGUCUGUUCUGAACAUGGGGUGCAAACGUGGAGUCAGUGGCUACACAUGUCCAAUCUGAAGUGAAUAUGAGGUGCAAAAAUGGAGUGUCUCUGGACCUGUCAACUGGCUUUCAGCAUGGAAUAAGGCGUCAGCAGAUCAGCCCCAAAGAACUGACCUGAACAGCACAGGAACUGACACUUUAACUACUAAUCCAUCUCCUAAUUGUACUCAUUGCUCAUCUCCUAUUUUGUGGUCAUUUAAAAACAACAACAGGAGUAUGGUUUUCUAAAAGUAAGUACUCUUGGUUUUCUAAAGUAAGUACUAUUGUAUA